RNAcentral lists this ribosomal RNA (1439 nucleotides) under uncultured bacterium. Its description in RNAcentral is "bacterial SSU rRNA". It matches the Rfam family "Bacterial small subunit ribosomal RNA". The record is from RNAcentral.
AAUGAACGCUGGCGGCAUGGAUUAGGCAUGCAAGUCGAACGAUGAAGCAGUGCUUGCACUGUGAAUUAGUGGCGCAAGGGUGAGGAACGCGUGAGUAAUCUACCUCCAAGUCGGGGAUAGCCCGAGGAAACUCGGAUUAAUACCGGAUGUGGCCAAUGAGACGCAUGUUUUAUUGGCUAAAGAUUUAUUGCUUGGAGAUGAGCUCGCGUCCCAUCAGAUGGAUGGUGAGGUAACGGCUCACCAUAGCUGUGACGGGUAGCUGGUCUGAGAGGAUGGUCAGCCACACUGGGACUGAGACACUGCCCAGACUCCUACGGGAGGCUGCAGUCGAGAAUCUUCCGCAAUGCGCGAAAGCGUGACGGAGCAAUGCCGCGUGCAGGAUGAAGGCUUUCGGGUCGUAAACUGCUGUCACUCGGGAUGAAUAAUGACGUAACCGAGAGAGGAAGCCACGGCUAACUACGUGCCAGCAGCCGCGGUAAUACGUAGGUGGCGAGCGUUAUUCGGAUUUAUUGGGCGUAAAGGGUUCGUAGGGGGUUGCAUAAGUCUGAUGUGAAAUCCUGAGGCUCAACCUCAGAACUGCAUUGGAAACUGUGCGACUUGAGUAUCGGAGAGGUAAGUGGAAUUCCUGGUGUAGCGGUGGAAUGCGUAGGUAUCAGGAGGAACACCAAUGGCGAAGGCAGCUUACUGGACGAUUACUGACCCUGAGGAACGAAAGCUGGGGGAGCGAACAGGAUUAGAUACCCUGGUAGUCCCAGCUGUAAACGUUGUACACUAGGUGUAGGCAGAUUUGACCCUGUCUGUGCCCAAGCUAACGCGUUAAGUGUACCGCCUGGGGAGUACGGCCGCAAGGCUAAAACUCAAAGGAAUUGACGGGGGCCCGCACAAGCGGUGGAGCAUGUGGCUUAAUUCGAGGCAACGCGAAGAAUCUUACCUGGGCUUGACAUAUAUUUGACCGCCAUGGAAACAUGGCUUCCCUUUGGGCAGAUAUACAGGUGCUGCAUGGCUGUCGUCAGCUCGUGCCGUGAGGUGUUCGGUUAAGUCCGGCAACGAGCGCAACCCAUGCUACUAGUUACCGGCAUGUUAUGAUGGGGACUCUAGUAGGACUGCCCGUGCUAAGCGGGAGGAAGGCGUGGACGACGUCAAGUCAGUAUGGCCCUUACGCCCAGGGCUGCACGCGUGCUACAAUGGCCGGUACAGAGGGAUGCCACUCUGCGAAGAGGAGCGAAUCCCAAAAACCGGCCCCAGUUCGGAUUGUAGUCUGCAACUCGACUACAUGAAGUCGGAAUCGCUAGUAAAGGCGUAUCAGCAAUGGCGCCUUGAAUACGUUCCCGGGCCUUGUACACACCGCCCGUCACAUCACGGGAGCUGGCUGCACCCGAAGUCGCUGACUCAACCCGCAAGGGAGAGAGGCGCCGAAGGAGUGGCUGGUGACUGGGAUG